This 76-nucleotide transfer RNA is filed under the name Citrobacter phage CF1 ERZ-2017. RNAcentral's name for it is "tRNA-Met". It matches the Rfam family "tRNA". From Rfam's summary of the family: Transfer RNA (tRNA) molecules are approximately 80 nucleotides in length. Their secondary structure includes four short double-helical elements and three loops (D, anti-codon, and T loops). The record is from RNAcentral. Lineage: Duplodnaviria; Heunggongvirae; Uroviricota; Caudoviricetes; Pantevenvirales; Straboviridae.
GGCCCUAUAGCUCAGCGGUAGAGCGAUCCCCUCAUAAGGGAUUGGUCGGUGGUUCGAAUCUCACCUAGGGUCACCA